AGAGUUUGAUCCUGGCUCAGAGCGAACGCUGGCGGCAUGCUUAACACAUGCAAGUCGCACGGGCGGUUUUCGGACUGUCAGUGGCGGACGGGUGAGUAACGCGUAGGUAUCUGUCUUUUGGUGGGGGAUAACUGUGGGAAACUACAGCUAAUACCGCAUGAAGCCUGAGGGCCAAAGCUCGUGAGAGCGCCUGGAGAGGA
Molecule: ribosomal RNA, 200 nt
Filed under: uncultured bacterium
Lineage: Bacteria
Description: partial 16S ribosomal RNA
Rfam family: Bacterial small subunit ribosomal RNA
Source: RNAcentral